CAGCCGCCGCGGUAAUACAGAGGGUGCGAGCGUUAACCGGAUUUACUGGGCGUAAAGCGUGCGUAGGCGGCUUUUUAAGUCGGAUGUGAAAUCCCUGAGCUUAACUUAGGAAUUGCAUUCGAUACUGGGAAGCUAGAGUAUGGGAGAGGAUGGUAGAAUUCCAGGUGUAGCGGUGAAAUGCGUAGAGAUCUGGAGGAAUACCGGUGGCGAAGGCGGCCCCCUGGACAAAGACUGACGCUCAGGUGCGAAAGCGUGGGGAGCAAACAGGAUUAGAUACCCCCGUAGUCCCUGUCUCUUAUAC
Molecule: ribosomal RNA, 301 nt
Filed under: uncultured bacterium
Lineage: Bacteria
Description: partial 16S ribosomal RNA
Rfam family: Bacterial small subunit ribosomal RNA
Source: RNAcentral